RNAcentral lists this ribosomal RNA (253 nucleotides) under uncultured bacterium. RNAcentral describes it as "partial 16S ribosomal RNA". It matches the Rfam family "Bacterial small subunit ribosomal RNA", at positions 524 to 776 of the family's 1533-position model. The record is from RNAcentral.
UACGUAGGGGGCAAGCGUUGUCCGGAUUUAUUGGGCGUAAAAGAGCGUGUAGGCGGCCUGAAAGGUCAGCUGUGAAACUCGAGGCUCAACCUCGAGACGUCGGUUGAAACCAUCUGGCUAGAGUCCGGAAGAGGAGAGUGGAAUUCCCGGUGUAGCGGUGAAAUGCGCAGAUAUCGGGAAGAACACCCGUGGCGAAGGCGGCUCUCUGGGACGGUACUGACGCUGAGACGCGAAAGCGUGGGGAGCGAACAGG